AGGAGCUGUAUAAGGUGGAAGUCUCACGUACGGUUCUAUGAGAAGGGAGUGGCUACCUACUAGAGCUUCAACCAAGCACCACCGGUCAAUUCUGCUUUGGGGCCACCCUUGACUCUAC
This is a non-coding RNA of Capsicum annuum, 118 nucleotides long. The record is from Rfam. Lineage: Eukaryota; Viridiplantae; Streptophyta; Magnoliopsida; Solanales; Solanaceae.